Long non-coding RNA from Aedes albopictus (Asian tiger mosquito), 378 nucleotides. RefSeq lists it as uncharacterized. The record is from RefSeq and is a predicted model, not a curated record. Lineage: Eukaryota; Metazoa; Arthropoda; Insecta; Diptera; Culicidae. The transcript has 3 exons.
UUAUAUAAUCCAGUGUAUUUAUCCACGGCGAAGGAAACAUGUUUUUUUUGUUACGGGUCAACAACAGUUUUCCACCAGCAAAAAGUUGAAAAUCUAAAUUUUCUGCAGCGAUUUCACGACGAAUUUUCAAAAAUAAAUGUUUCAGGCUGCAUCAAGAAUAACCUAAGGAGUUGGCAGUGCCGUGCAAAGAUUUGCUGUGCUGGAUGUCCGUAAAAAUGUACUACCAUAGGCAGAUCGGGCAACGCCAUACUGAUUCCCAGAACAGCCCAAGUCACAGAGUGUCGCCGGAAACAUUCAGCCAUAUACGCAACUCACUAUCGUGAAAUCAAAGUGGAUUCCGUUUCGCAAAGAAUGUUCAGAGCCAGAGAGUGGAGAGGU